This 505-nucleotide ribosomal RNA is filed under the name uncultured bacterium. RNAcentral's name for it is "bacterial SSU rRNA". It matches the Rfam family "Bacterial small subunit ribosomal RNA", at positions 10 to 507 of the family's 1533-position model. The record is from RNAcentral.
AGUUUGAUCCUGGCUCAGAUUGAACGCUGGCGGCAUGCCUUACACAUGCAAGUCGAACGGCAGCACGGGAGCUUGCUCCUGGUGGCGAGUGGCGAACGGGUGAGUAAUACAUCGGAACGUACCCUGAAGUGGGGGAUAACGUAGCGAAAGUUACGCUAAUACCGCAUAUUCUGUGCGCAGGAAAGCAGGGGGAUCGCAAGACCUUGCGCUGAUUGAGCGGCCGAUAUCAGAUUAGCUAGUUGGUGGGGUAAAGGCCUACCAAGGCGACGAUCUGUAGCGGGUCUGAGAGGAUGAUCCGCCACACUGGAACUGAGACACGGUCCAGACUCCUACGGGAGGCAGCAGUGGGGAAUUUUGGACAAUGGGGGCAACCCUGAUCCAGCCAUGCCGCGUGAGUGAAGAAGGCCUUCGGGUUGUAAAGCUCUUUCGGCCGGGAAGAAAUCGUAUGGGUUAAUACCCUGUGCGGAUGACGGUACCGGCAUAAGAAGCACCGGCUAACUACGUG